CAGUAUUUAGUUUAAUGAAAAUAUGGUAUUUGGGUUAUCAAGAUUUGUUACUGG
Molecule: transfer RNA, 54 nt
Filed under: Heterakis beramporia
Lineage: Eukaryota; Metazoa; Nematoda; Chromadorea; Rhabditida; Heterakidae
Description: tRNA-Pro
Source: RNAcentral